GGAGAAGGAUCACCAGCUCCAUACAGCUGUAGCUGUGACGUCUUCCCUUAACGCCGGCACAGAGCAGCUGUUAACGUUACCUUGAAAUCUUCAGUGAAUAACUGAAAAAGAUAACGGUUUUUUAUUUAAACUCUACUACAUGCGCGAGGAGCUCCUCACACUUGCCUUCAGUUCACAUCUGCGCUGAGGUUGCAUGGUCCAGGUUUUCAAGAAUGAGUUCACUACGGAUGAGCUGCGCACGUCUCCAGUGAAUUUUGAAUUUUACAUGGUGAUCAGCUGCAUCCUAUUAUCAUCAGCUUUCCUGCUACUGCCCUGGGGAUUACUCUUAAAGUUUCAAACUAAGUAUGAUAUAGUUGUGUUCAUUGAACUAAGAGUUUAUAGCAAACAAUUAUAUU
Molecule: long non-coding RNA, 395 nt
Organism: Trichomycterus rosablanca
Lineage: Eukaryota; Metazoa; Chordata; Actinopteri; Siluriformes; Trichomycteridae
Exons: 4
Source: RefSeq, a predicted model, not a curated record